This 1487-nucleotide ribosomal RNA is filed under the name Streptococcus thermophilus. RNAcentral describes it as "bacterial SSU rRNA". It matches the Rfam family "Bacterial small subunit ribosomal RNA". The record is from RNAcentral. Lineage: Bacteria; Bacillati; Bacillota; Bacilli; Lactobacillales; Streptococcaceae.
AGGCUCAGGACGAACGCUGGCGGCGUGCCUAAUACAUGCAAGUAGAACGCUGAAGAGAGGAGCUUGCUCUUCUUGGAUGAGUUGCGAACGGGUGAGUAACGCGUAGGUAACCUGCCUUGUAGCGGGGGAUAACUAUUGGAAACGAUAGCUAAUACCGCAUAACAAUGGAUGACACAUGUCAUUUAUUUGAAAGGGGCAAUUGCUCCACUACAAGAUGGACCUGCGUUGUAUUAGCUAGUAGGUGAGGUAAUGGCUCACCUAGGCGACGAUACAUAGCCGACCUGAGAGGGUGAUCGGCCACACUGGGACUGAGACACGGCCCAGACUCCUACGGGAGGCAGCAGUAGGGAAUCUUCGGCAAUGGGGGCAACCCUGACCGAGCAACGCCGCGUGAGUGAAGAAGGUUUUCGGAUCGUAAAGCUCUGUUGUAAGUCAAGAACGGGUGUGAGAGUGGAAAGUUCACACUGUGACGGUAGCUUACCAGAAAGGGACGGCUAACUACGUGCCAGCAGCCGCGGUAAUACGUAGGUCCCGAGCGUUGUCCGGAUUUAUUGGGCGUAAAGCGAGCGCAGGCGGUUUGAUAAGUCUGAAGUUAAAGGCUGUGGCUCAACCAUAGUUCGCUUUGGAAACUGUCAAACUUGAGUGCAGAAGGGGAGAGUGGAAUUCCAUGUGUAGCGGUGAAAUGCGUAGAUAUAUGGAGGAACACCGGUGGCGAAAGCGGCUCUCUGGUCUGUAACUGACGCUGAGGCUCGAAAGCGUGGGGAGCGAACAGGAUUAGAUACCCUGGUAGUCCACGCCGUAAACGAUGAGUGCUAGGUGUUGGAUCCUUUCCGGGAUUCAGUGCCGCAGCUAACGCAUUAAGCACUCCGCCUGGGGAGUACGACCGCAAGGUUGAAACUCAAAGGAAUUGACGGGGGCCCGCACAAGCGGUGGAGCAUGUGGUUUAAUUCGAAGCAACGCGAAGAACCUUACCAGGUCUUGACAUCCCGAUGCUAUUUCUAGAGAUAGAAAGUUACUUCGGUACAUCGGUGACAGGUGGUGCAUGGUUGUCGUCAGCUCGUGUCGUGAGAUGUUGGGUUAAGUCCCGCAACGAGCGCAACCCCUAUUGUUAGUUGCCAUCAUUCAGUUGGGCACUCUAGCGAGACUGCCGGUAAUAAACCGGAGGAAGGUGGGGAUGACGUCAAAUCAUCAUGCCCCUUAUGACCUGGGCUACACACGUGCUACAAUGGUUGGUACAACGAGUUGCGAGUCGGUGACGGCGAGCUAAUCUCUUAAAGCCAAUCUCAGUUCGGAUUGUAGGCUGCAACUCGCCUACAUGAAGUCGGAAUCGCUAGUAAUCGCGGAUCAGCACGCCGCGGUGAAUACGUUCCCGGGCCUUGUACACACCGCCCGUCACACCACGAGAGUUUGUAACACCCGAAGUCGGUGAGGUAACCUUUUGGAGCCAGCCGCCUAAGGUGGGACAGAUGAUUGGGGUGAAGUCGUAA